Molecule: ribosomal RNA, 140 nt
Filed under: uncultured Stenotrophomonas sp.
Lineage: Bacteria; Pseudomonadati; Pseudomonadota; Gammaproteobacteria; Lysobacterales; Lysobacteraceae
Description: partial 16S ribosomal RNA
Rfam family: Bacterial small subunit ribosomal RNA
Source: RNAcentral
GCCAUACCGCGUGGGUGAAGAAGGCCUUCGGGUUGUAAAGCCCUUUUGUUGGGAAAGAAAUCCAGCCGGGCUAAUACCCGGUUGGGAUGACGGUACCCAAAGAAUAAGCACCGGCUAACUUCGUGCCAGCAGCCGCGGUA